GCGUGGCCCAAGGGUAAGGCAACGGGUUUUGGUCCCGUUACUCGGAGGUUCGAAUCCUUCCGUCCCAGA
RNAcentral lists this transfer RNA (69 nucleotides) under Lankesteriana heloisae. RNAcentral's name for it is "partial tRNA-Gln". It matches the Rfam family "tRNA". Rfam says of the family: Transfer RNA (tRNA) molecules are approximately 80 nucleotides in length. Their secondary structure includes four short double-helical elements and three loops (D, anti-codon, and T loops). Lineage: Eukaryota; Viridiplantae; Streptophyta; Magnoliopsida; Asparagales; Orchidaceae. The record is from RNAcentral.